Molecule: ribosomal RNA, 380 nt
Filed under: uncultured eukaryote
Lineage: Eukaryota
Description: partial 18S ribosomal RNA
Rfam family: Eukaryotic small subunit ribosomal RNA
Source: RNAcentral
CAAUAGCGUAUAUUAAAGUUGUUGCGGUUAAAAAGCUCGUAGUUGGAGUUCUGCCAGGUGCCGCCUGUCCGCCCCAGUGGUGAGUACGUGGCGCGCAUUUGGCCCUUUCAAGGGGAGCGUAUCUGCACUUUAUUGUGUGGUGCGGGAUCCUUGACUUUUACUUUGAGGAAAUAGGAGUGUUCCAAGCAGGCUCUCGUCGUGCACAGCUCAGCAUGGAAUAAUAGCAUUGGACCUCGAUUCUAAGCUGUUGGUUGCCAGAAGCGAGGUAAUGAUGAAGAGGGAUAGUUGGGGGCAUUCGUAUUUAACUGUUAGAGGUGAAAUUCUUGGAUUUGUUAAAGACGGACUACUGCGAAAGCAUCUGCCAUGGAUGUUUUCAUUGA